CCACAAGGCUGGAAAGGGCUACGGGGAAAUUGCCAAGCAGCUUGGUGAAAUCAACACCCUGCAGCAAGCACUCAGCAGGUGGUCCAUGUACCGAGCUGACAGCAAUUCUCUUACUUUGUUGUCCUUGGUCAAAGCCCAAACAACGUUGAUUCCCACGGCUACAUGUGCGGCUCCCACAUCAGGACUGGGAGAAUCCACCUCUGCCCAGGAAUGAGCUGGCGUACCUUUGGGGCAGUCUCGGACGAUGCCCUCUCUGACAAUGAGCUGCCCCUCCCACAGCACUGCCC
Micropterus salmoides (largemouth bass) is the source of this 287-nucleotide long non-coding RNA. RefSeq lists it as uncharacterized. The transcript is spliced from 3 exons. The record is from RefSeq and is a predicted model, not a curated record. Lineage: Eukaryota; Metazoa; Chordata; Actinopteri; Centrarchiformes; Centrarchidae.